This 3440-nucleotide long non-coding RNA is filed under the name Nicotiana tabacum (common tobacco). RNAcentral's name for it is "long non-coding RNA (NTAB_LNC004628)". Lineage: Eukaryota; Viridiplantae; Streptophyta; Magnoliopsida; Solanales; Solanaceae. The record is from RNAcentral.
UUCAAAAUCAUACCUUUCAAUUUUGAUCGUAUACAAUCCUUGUCCUUAUUAUUGCUCGUGACCGCGCCCUUCUCUUCUCUCCAUCAGAUUGCCAACCUAGUCACUAUCUUGUGUUUGAACCAUGUGCACCAAAUUUUUCUAGUGCUUCUUUUUGUGACAAAACCUCAUUGGUUAACUUGGAAUCCAUUCGGUCUAAGCUUACUUUCCUACUUAUUAGAAGAAGGAACAAAGGCACCUCUCCGUCAACGUGUGUGUUUCCUUAAAUUUUUCUAAUUUGUUUAGGGGUAUUUUUGUAAUUUCAUUAAUUUACAGCUCAACCUUAUAGUUGCUGACUCUUUCUGCCGUUGCCAGCACGUGGACUCCCAAUUCCUCAAAGCUAAAAACUCAUUCAAUAGAACUUGUUAGAAGCACCCACUUCCAGGUUGAGCAUUAAUUGCCCCAAAAUCCAUCAGGCCUCACCUAAUAAUUUAACGAAAUUAGAGCAGUUAGCCUUUUCUGAUUCACAUCUAUCAUAAAGAGCAGGUUUAUUCCAAUUACUCCAGCAUUUUAUUUUAUUUAUGCUUUCUGUUCAACUUUUUCUUCUUCUGCAAAAAGAUCAGAUCUUUGGGGUUUUGGCUUGAUCAGCGAUCUUUUCUUCAAUUUAGUCUUAAGAUCCAUUUCAGAAAGGUGAAAAUAAGCUGAGGUUGGAUUUUGAUUCGUUCUCUGUUUUUAUUAAUUUAUUUUGGAUUUCUUAUGUGAAUUCUAAGUUCUCUUUAUUUUAUUUUUUCUGCUAUUCUACUUUCUUUAAAAGAUUGUUAGAAGUUCAUUAACAUAUCUGCUUGUCGGAGGGCAAUUUCGUCUUUACAGUGUUAUUGUGCUAUGAACAAAUCUUGUGGUAUCCCUGUACCAAUGAAUUUGAAUAGGUAAUUUCGCAAGCUAACCUGAUAAUCACCACUUAAUUCUCUGCAAUACCAAGAUUUUCCUCCGCAUCUCCGUCGUCUCUUUGUUUUGAUUCUCUUGGCUUCUCCGCUGAUUUCUAUCUUUUUCAUGUUGCACAUCAAUUUCUGUUAUAUAUUUCAGGAUAGUUUAACAGGAGAUUGUGGUUUUUAUUGUAUUUUUGCAAUUCUAUAUUUGCUCAAGAUAAUAACAUGAUUAAAAGAUUAGUUUUACUGUGUUGUUUCUUUUCCUUCAUAGGGGUGUCUCUUGUGUUUUGUUUCAGGGUUCUUGUUGGGUUGUUCGAAUAUUCAUUAUAAUUUUAUCUUGUUGUUCGAAUAUUCAUUAUAAUUUUAUCUUAAAUUUUUGUGAAAUUCAAAAAACUGCUUAAGAAGAAAUCGGGGUUUCCGCGUAUUUGAAGGUUUUAUCAUUUUUAAAAAUUGGGGCUUUCAUAAUGGAUGAUCCUGUAACUUUCUUGGAUUUGACUUUUGAGCUACACUUUUAAUGGGCUUCUGGUUUAUUUUAAUUUUUCCCUGUAUUUACAUGAAAAAAGAUGACUUAGUCCUUCAUUGUUUGGAAGUUUUGUAUUAUCACUUCUUAUUUCUCAUGCCGAAUUUUACCUUCACAAGCUAUGAGAUUUCAAGUUCCUUCAAUUGAGAUUGGCUUUACUAUCAUGUAAAUAAUAUAAGAGAAAAGAACACCUACGGUGAAUACUAUUUCUAAACUGCGUAAAUUGUGCUAAGCCGUAGUAGUUAUAGUAUUAUUGUCCAAUUAAUUAAUCCGCCAGUUGAUGUGUAUAAUUGUAGUCCGGAGGAGACGAUACACAUUUCUGUUUUUAGAGCAAGAAUUAGAGUUAUUGCUAUAACUACACUUGCGAUAAAGAAGUCACUUCUACACUUUUAUCACCGGAAGAGAUAACAUUUUCUAUUUUACACAACCAACUCUUUUGAAAACAACUAAUGAAUUUUAUUUUAUUCUGUUCGGACACUAUUAUUCGUCCAUUGGUCGAGCAGGAUUUUCAAAGCUUGCAGCAAUUAUUUCCUGAAAUUUUUUGUUUUGAUUUACUGUCCGAAUAAUUACUGUGCAUGUAUUUAGUUACAUGUUUAACUUGCAUUUUAAAGUUGCUUAGUUAUGUAUAUAUAAUUAUUUUCUCUCUGUGUUGCUGAAGUUGGACUGACUCAAUAAAUUUCUUGAGCACGUGUCCUUAUUUGGACAACGUACUCUUCAUUUCUUAAAAGUAUCUUGAAUAGGUAACUAGCUUGUGCUAAACUAUUUUGUAUACACUAGUUACUUACAGGACUGCAAAAAAUAUUGUUAAUUGGAGAGCGAAUUUUGAAGUAUAAAAUUAACUCUGCUGAAUUUGAAACAUCGAAUGGGGUUCUUUACCUACUUUCCAAGCUCAGUGAUUUCUUAAUGGCCAGAAAUAAACUUAGUUGGUAUUUUUAUUUUCAGAUAGUGUUCCGACUUGCUAGAAAUUAGACUGUGGCAUAAGAUACUGAAGAUGCUAUUUGUACCUAUCUUCUUUCCAUUUGUAUUGUAGAAAAACAUUAGAUGACAAUUGUUAAGUGGUCUUGAUGGUUUCAUUUAGCAAACAAAUGUUUUGCAUAAGUCGCAUGAUUAGUGCAAGUUAUGGAAAAAUUGACUUUAUUGAGAAAGUUCGAUUAGUAAAGUUUAUUCCUUUGACACAAAGAUACAAACUAGUCAACUAAAAGGUCUUGUACAUAUCAGAAUUCCAUGCUUUUUUUGAGAAGAUAUGACUUACAUAUGAAAUUUUAAUGGAAGUGGCAUAUAUUUACUUAAUCUUGGUAAACCUUCUUGAGAUAGGGUUUUACCAAGUUCACUUAAGUUAUCAAAUGUAAAUAUGUAUGCUCCUACAGUCAUUACCAAUACGUCUAUGUAUAUCAGUUACGCUAUUCAUCUACUAAUAUUUUUAGAAAGUUUCACUUGAUUCUGCUUCAACAAUGUAAAAGUCAUCAUGAAUAUUUUCAUGGAUCCUCCUUUUAACUCUGUCUUCUACCUUGUGCAUAUCAACCAGGCUAUUAUUAUUGAAGUCGGACAUUCUAGGCAAGUUCGUUUUGAUUUUGGAUGCGGUACAUUGGAAUCCUGAAGCACCAUCACGAACGUUAUUGGACGUCCGCCUGCGACACACGAUCUUCCUUUCUGAUGAAUUAGUUCACAACACAGCUCAGCACGAUCUACUUUUUGACGAACUUAUAUGAUGUUGGAAACUGAAUUUUAGAAGACAAAGAAUAAAAAACUUUAUACGCUUUGCUUUUGGGUCUUUGCAGAUAUUAUCACAUGUACUUUUAUUUACAAUAGUAUUAUUUAUAUCUCUCUUUAGUACUUCCAAAAAUAAUAAUGAAAUAAUCAAAAAAUUUGUGAGACAUCUUGACAAGUGAAUGGCGAAAUAUUAUAGUGAGAAUCAGAAGUACACAAUAUAAACAAUGUAGAUUUUUUUAAGUUGGGCCCGGGCGAAGUCCGGGCUACCCCUACUAGUAUUCUAAAUAUGUCAACAAUUAACAUAGUAA